This 406-nucleotide ribosomal RNA is filed under the name uncultured bacterium. RNAcentral describes it as "partial 16S ribosomal RNA". It matches the Rfam family "Bacterial small subunit ribosomal RNA", at positions 30 to 526 of the family's 1533-position model. The record is from RNAcentral.
AUUGAACGCUGGCGGCAGGCUUAAAACAUGCAAGUCGAGCGAGCGGCGGACGGGGGAGUAAUGUCUGGGAAACUGCCUGAUGGAGGGGGAUAACUACUGGAAACGGUAGCUAAUACCGCAUACCAUCAGAUGUGCCCAGAUGGGAUUAGCUAGUAGGUGGGGUAAGAGCUCACUUAGGCUAAGAUCCCUAGCUGGUCUGAGAGGAUGAACAGCCACACUUGACCUGAGACACGGUGCAGACUCCGACGGUAGGCAGCAGUGGGUAAUAUUGCACAAUGGGCGCAAGCCUGAUGCAGCCAUGCCGCGUGUGUGAAGAAGGCCUUCGGGUUGUAAAGCACUUUCAGCGAUGAGGCGUUACUCGCAGAAGAAGCACCGGCUAACUCCGUGCCAGCAGCCGCGGUAAUUC